AUGGCGUGCAUCAAUACCUUGCAGAGCUGCUCCAUGUUCAAAGGGGCCAAGAGUAAGGCCAGAAGAGGUAGAGCCAGUGGCGGGACCUUUGAGUGCCGGGCGUCCACGUUCAUGGACGGGAGCGGGCUCCGGCUCGGGCUCGACGAGAACCCCGAUGCCAUCAUCUCCGGGGAGUGGCCCGAGAACUUCUCCCUCCUCAGCUACGACGACCUCCGCGCAUACCUCCAGUCACAGCAGCAGCAGCAACAACGACAACCAUCCCAUGCCGGCGAUCAGCAGCGGGGGCCUCUCCUGCGUGAGGCCAUGUCGACGCCCGUGCUGAUGGUCACAGCGGAGCAGGCGCUGGUGGAGGUUGAAGGCCACUUCCAGCUCGUGUCAGGCCUCCCGGUUGUCGACAGUGCCCGCCGAUGUGUCGGGGUCGUCGUCAAGAGCGAUCACGUGAGGGCUUCACAUGGGCCAAAGACGAAGAUUGCAGAUGUGAUGACAUCUCCAGCAAUCACGCUAUCAUGCGAUAAAACAGUGACCGAUGCCGCAGCUCUGAUGCUCAGGAAGAAGAUCCACAGAUUACCGAUAGUAAACCAGGACAAUCAAGUAAUAGGUAUAGUUACCCGCGAUGACGUUCUUCGCGCGUUGGAGGCCAUGCUGAAGUUUUAG
RNAcentral lists this ribosomal RNA (654 nucleotides) under Triticum aestivum (bread wheat). RNAcentral describes it as "partial small subunit ribosomal RNA". Lineage: Eukaryota; Viridiplantae; Streptophyta; Magnoliopsida; Poales; Poaceae. The record is from RNAcentral.